This 467-nucleotide ribosomal RNA is filed under the name uncultured bacterium. RNAcentral describes it as "partial 16S ribosomal RNA". It matches the Rfam family "Bacterial small subunit ribosomal RNA", at positions 28 to 507 of the family's 1533-position model. The record is from RNAcentral.
GAUGAACGCUGGCGGCGUGCUUAACACAUGCAAGUCGAACGGUGAAGCAGAGCUUGCUCUGUGGAUCAGUGGCGAACGGGUGAGUAACACGUGAGCAACCUGCCCCUGACUCUGGGAUAAGCGCUGGAAACGGCGUCUAAUACUGGAUAUGAGCUGCGACCGCAUGGUCAGCAGUUGGAAAGAUUGUUCGGUCUGGGAUGGGCUCACGGCCUAUCAGCUUGUUGGUGAGGUAAUGGCUCACCAAGGCGUCGACGGGUAGCCGGCCUGAGAGGGUGACCGGCCACACUGGGACUGAGACACGGCCCAGACUCCUACGGGAGGCAGCAGUGGGGAAUAUUGCACAAUGGGCGAAAGCCUGAUGCAGCAACGCCGCGUGAGGGAUGACGGCCUUCGGGUUGUAAACCUCUUUUAGCAGGGAAGAAGCGAAAGUGACGGUACCUGCAGAAAAAGCGCCGGCUAACUACGUG